RNAcentral lists this ribosomal RNA (464 nucleotides) under uncultured bacterium. Its description in RNAcentral is "partial 16S ribosomal RNA". It matches the Rfam family "Bacterial small subunit ribosomal RNA", at positions 339 to 795 of the family's 1533-position model. The record is from RNAcentral.
CUACGGGGGGCUCCAGUUAAGAAUCUUCCGCAAUGGACGAAAGUCUGACGGAGCGACGCCGCGUGGGUGAAGAAGGCCGAGAGGUUGUAAAGCCCUUUUCUGCUUGAGGAAUAAGCCUGGUAGGGAAUGACCGGGUGAUGACGGUAGGGCAGGAAUAAGCCCCGGCUAAUUACGUGCCAGCAGCCGCGGUAACACGUAUGGGGCGAGCGUUGUUCGGAAUCAUCGGGCGUAAAGGGCGUGUAGGCGGAAAUGCAAGUCUGGUGUGAAAGACCGCAGCUCAACUGCGGGGACGCGCUGGAAACUGCAUAUCUUGAGUGCCGGAGGGGGAGUUGGAAUUCCUGGUGUAGGGGUGAAAUCUGUUGAUAUCAGGAAGAACAUCGGUGGCGAAGGCGAACUCCUGGACGAGAACUGACGCUGAGGCGCGAAAGCGUGGGGAGCGAACAGGAUUAGAUACCCCUGUAGUC